This 201-nucleotide ribosomal RNA is filed under the name uncultured bacterium. RNAcentral describes it as "partial 16S ribosomal RNA". It matches the Rfam family "Bacterial small subunit ribosomal RNA", at positions 328 to 539 of the family's 1533-position model. The record is from RNAcentral.
ACGCUCGACACCUACGGGGGGCAGCAGUGGGGAAUAUUGGGCAAUGGGCGCAAGCCUGACCCAGCAACGCCGCGUGAAGGAAGAAGGCCCUCGGGUUGUAAACUUCUUUUGACAGGGACGAAACAAAUGACGGUACCUGUCGAAUAAGCCACGGCUAACUACGUGUCAGCAGCCGCGGUAAUCUGAGCGGGCUGGCAAGGC